AAAAUGAGAGUUUGAUCCUGGCUCAGGAUAAACGCUGGCGGCGUGUCUAAGGCAUGCAAGUCGUCUGUCCUCCCGUAGCAAUACGGGCGGGCAGGGCAAACGGGUGCGUAACACAUUGGCAACCUACCUUGAGGACGCGAAUAACCCCGAGAAAUCGGGAGUAAUACGCGAUAAAAUCGGGGGGACACAAGUCAUUCCCAAUUAAACCCCGUAGCAAUACGGGGGCCUCAAGAGGGGCCUAUGGCCUAUCAGCUUGUUGGUGAGGUAACGGCUCACCAAGGCGACGACGGGUAGCGGGUGUGAGAGCAUGACCCGCCUCACUGGGACUGAGACACUGCCCAGACUCCUACGGGAGGCUGCAGUCGAGAAUAUUCCUCAAUGGCCGAAAGGCUGAAGGAGCGACGCCGCGUGCAUGAAGACGCCCUUCGGGGUGUAAAGUGCUUUUCUCUGGGAAGAAUUAUGACGGUACCAGAGGAAUAAGGAGCCGCUAACCUCGUGCCAGCAGCGGCGGUAAUACGAGGGCUCCAAGCGUUAUCCGGAUUUAUUGGGCGUAAAGCGUCCGCAGGCGGCUGAAUACAUCUUCUGUUAAAUCUAUUGACCUAAUCAAUAGGCCGCGGAAGAGAUGGUUCGGAUAGAGACCGGGAGAGGCAAGCGGAAUUGCUGGUGUAGGGGUUAAAUCCGUUAAUAUCAGCAGGAACACCAAAUGCGAAAGCAGCUUGCUAGAACGGUUCUGACGCUCAGGGACGAAAGCGUGGGGAGCGAAUGGGAUUAGAUACCCCAGUAGUCCACGCUGUAAACAAUGGAUGCUAAGCAUUGGCAGUAUCGACCCUGUCAGUGCUGUUCACCUAAGCUAACGCGUUAAGCAUCCCGCCUGGGGAGUACGGCCGCAAGGCUAAAACUCAAAGGAAUAGACGGGGACCCGCACAAGCGGUGGAGCAUGUGGUUUAAUUCGACGGUAAGCGAGGAACCUCACCAAGGCUUGACAUCCAGCUGCAGACUCCUGGAAACAGGAGAGCCUUCGAGGGUGCUGGACAGAUGCUGCAUGGUUGUCGUCAGCUCGUGUCGUGAGAUGUACCGUUAAGUCGGAAAACGAGCGCAACCCCUAUCCUAUGUUUUAUAUGUCAUAGGAAACUGCCCGUUUUAAAUGGGAGGAAGGUGGGGAUGACGUCAAAUCAGCAUGGUUCUUACGCCUUGGGCUACACACGUGCUACAAUGGAGGGUACAGAGGGACGCCAAAUCGCAAGAUGGAGCAAAUCCCUUAAAACCCUUCUCAGUUCGGAUUGAGGUCUGCAACUCGACCUCAUGAAGCCGGAAUCGCUAGUAAUCGCGCAUCAGCAAUGGCGCGGUGAAUACGUUCUCGGGUCUUGUACUCACCGCCCGUCACACCAAGAGAGCCGAUAAUACCCAAAGAAUCAGCUUGGCUGGUUUUAAGGUAGGAUUGGUAAUAAGGGUGAAGUCGUAACAAGGCAUCCGUAGCGGAAGCUGUGGAUGGAUCACCUCCUUUCUAGGGAG
Molecule: ribosomal RNA, 1512 nt
Filed under: Candidatus Falkowbacteria bacterium CG23_combo_of_CG06-09_8_20_14_all_49_15
Lineage: Bacteria; Candidatus Falkowiibacteriota
Description: bacterial SSU rRNA
Rfam family: Bacterial small subunit ribosomal RNA
Source: RNAcentral